UCAGGAUGCGUUGCUACAACUGACAGCAUCAACUUUACCGAGGUUGAGACACCAACAGCAGGAAGGAAAGAUGCGAGGAAACCGUCGAUCAAUCCUGCGGCCGGAGGCUUCAUUGGACUAGGUGUUGGAUGUUUGCUGCUUGUUCUGACAGUCCUCAUUGUGGUGUGUCUCUUGAGCAGG
This is a long non-coding RNA of Haliotis rubra (blacklip abalone), 180 nucleotides long. RefSeq lists it as uncharacterized. Lineage: Eukaryota; Metazoa; Mollusca; Gastropoda; Lepetellida; Haliotidae. The record is from RefSeq and is a predicted model, not a curated record. The transcript is spliced from 2 exons.